UGAGUAACCUGCCCUUAACUCUGGGAUAAGCCUGGGAGACUGGGUCUAAUACCGGAUAUGACUCCUCAUCGCAUGGUGGGGGGUGGAAAGCUUUAUUGUGGUUUUGGAUGGACUCGCGGCCUAUCAGCUUGUUGGUGGGGUAACGGCUCACCAAGGCGACGACGGGUAGCCGGCCUGAGAGGGUGACCGGCCACACUGGGACUGAGACACGGCCCAGACUCCUACGGGAGGCAG
This 234-nucleotide ribosomal RNA is filed under the name uncultured bacterium. Its description in RNAcentral is "partial 16S ribosomal RNA". It matches the Rfam family "Bacterial small subunit ribosomal RNA", at positions 118 to 351 of the family's 1533-position model. The record is from RNAcentral.